Molecule: long non-coding RNA, 1016 nt
Organism: Pecten maximus
Lineage: Eukaryota; Metazoa; Mollusca; Bivalvia; Pectinida; Pectinidae
Exons: 3
Source: RefSeq, a predicted model, not a curated record
ACCUCCAGUCUGUACCUUACCUGUGUAAUGGUAGGUAAUACCAACACCCCACAGGUGUCACCUCCAGUCUGUACCUUACCUGUGUAAUGGUAGAUAAUACCAACACCUCACAGGUGUCACCUCCAGUCUGUACCUUACCUGUGUAAUGGUAGAUAAUACCAACACCCCACAGGUGUCACCUCCAGUCUGUUCCUUACCUGUGUAAUGGUAGAUAAUACCAACACCUCACAGGUGUCACCUCCAGUCUGUACCUUACCUGUGUAAUGGUAGAUAAUACCAACACCCCACAGGUGUCACCUCCAGUCUGUACCUUACCUGUGUAAUGGUAGGUAAUACCAACACCUCACAGGUGUCACCUCCAGUCUGUACCUUACCUGUGUAAUGGUAGAUAAUACCAACACCUCACAGGUGUCACCUCCAGUCUGUACCUUACCUGUGUAAUGGUAGAUAAUACCAACACCUCACAGGUAUCACCUCCAGUCUGUACCUUACCUGUGUAAUACCAACACCCCACAGGUGUCACCUCCAAGUCUGUACCUUACCUAUAUAACAGAAGAUAUUACAAACACUCUGUUGGUGACAUCUCCUUUUUGCAGGUGACAUACAGGUAUCACUAUGCUGAUGGCGGACAUCGGCACAGAGGUUUCCAUGCGAUAACUAAAGUUCCCUUGAGCCGAUCAAGCUUAAACUUCAUGCAAAUCUUCCUUACCAAAAGUGCUUGCUUUGGAUUGCUUUUCAGGUCCAAAGGUCAAAGUUACUGUUACUAUUAAAAGAAAAUUUGUUUCUAUACAAUAACUCUUGUAAUCACGGAAUGUUCUGCGCAGGCGACACAUCCACUUCAGUGGAAAUCUUGUGUGCCUUACCCGUGCCAUGGUAGAUACCAUAAAAAACCUGUAGUAAUUUAAUAUUUUUGGCUCAAAAUUGUUGUUUUAGUUGGUGUGUGUGUAGAUUACAUUGGUACAGAGAUCGCCAGGUUUUAUUAACAUAUCGGCCUUGCCUGUCAUGACAAUGAUAAC